UGGACAGAGUAAUCACGGUCG
Molecule: microRNA, 21 nt
Filed under: Corchorus olitorius
Lineage: Eukaryota; Viridiplantae; Streptophyta; Magnoliopsida; Malvales; Malvaceae
Description: csi-miR39
Source: RNAcentral